Molecule: ribosomal RNA, 2871 nt
Filed under: Staphylococcus aureus
Lineage: Bacteria; Bacillati; Bacillota; Bacilli; Caryophanales; Staphylococcaceae
Description: bacterial LSU rRNA
Rfam family: Bacterial large subunit ribosomal RNA
Source: RNAcentral
ACGAUAUGCUUUGGGGAGCUGUAAGUAAGCUUUGAUCCAGAGAUUUCCGAAUGGGGAAACCCAGCAUGAGUUAUGUCAUGUUAUCGAUAUGUGAAUACAUAGCAUAUCAGAAGGCACACCCGGAGAACUGAAACAUCUUAGUACCCGGAGGAAGAGAAAGAAAAUUCGAUUCCCUUAGUAGCGGCGAGCGAAACGGGAAGAGCCCAAACCAACAAGCUUGCUUGUUGGGGUUGUAGGACACUCUAUACGGAGUUACAAAGGACGACAUUAGACGAAUCAUCUGGAAAGAUGAAUCAAAGAAGGUAAUAAUCCUGUAGUCGAAAAUGUUGUCUCUCUUGAGUGGAUCCUGAGUACGACGGAGCACGUGAAAUUCCGUCGGAAUCUGGGAGGACCAUCUCCUAAGGCUAAAUACUCUCUAGUGACCGAUAGUGAACCAGUACCGUGAGGGAAAGGUGAAAAGCACCCCGGAAGGGGAGUGAAAUAGAACCUGAAACCGUGUGCUUACAAGUAGUCAGAGCCCGUUAAUGGGUGAUGGCGUGCCUUUUGUAGAAUGAACCGGCGAGUUACGAUUUGAUGCAAGGUUAAGCAGUAAAUGUGGAGCCGUAGCGAAAGCNNNNNNNNNNNNNNNNAGUCUGAAUAGGGCGUUUAGUAUUUGGUCGUAGACCCGAAACCAGGUGAUCUACCCUUGGUCAGGUUGAAGUUCAGGUAACACUGAAUGGAGGACCGAACCGACUUACGUUGAAAAGUGAGCGGAUGAACUGAGGGUAGCGGAGAAAUUCCAAUCGAACCUGGAGAUAGCUGGUUCUCUCCGAAAUAGCUUUAGGGCUAGCCUCAAGUGAUGAUUAUUGGAGGUAGAGCACUGUUUGGACGAGGGGCCCCUCUCGGGUUACCGAAUUCAGACAAACUCCGAAUGCCAAUUAAUUUAACUUGGGAGUCAGAACAUGGGUGAUAAGGUCCGUGUUCGAAAGGGAAACAGCCCAGACCACCAGCUAAGGUCCCAAAAUAUAUGUUAAGUGGAAAAGGAUGUGGCGUUGCCCAGACAACUAGGAUGUUGGCUUAGAAGCAGCCAUCAUUUAAAGAGUGCGUAAUAGCUCACUAGUCGAGUGACACUGCGCCGAAAAUGUACCGGGGCUAAACAUAUUACCGAAGCUGUGGAUUGUCCUUUGGACAAUGGUAGGAGAGCGUUCUAAGGGCGUUGAAGCAUGAUCGUAAGGACAUGUGGAGCGCUUAGAAGUGAGAAUGCCGGUGUGAGUAGCGAAAGACGGGUGAGAAUCCCGUCCACCGAUUGACUAAGGUUUCCAGAGGAAGGCUCGUCCGCUCUGGGUUAGUCGGGUCCUAAGCUGAGGCCGACAGGCGUAGGCGAUGGAUAACAGGUUGAUAUUCCUGUACCACCUAUAAUCGUUUUAAUCGAUGGGGGGACGCAGUAGGAUAGGCGAAGCGUGCGAUUGGAUUGCACGUCUAAGCAGUAAGGCUGAGUAUUAGGCAAAUCCGGUACUCGUUAAGGCUGAGCUGUGAUGGGGAGAAGACAUUGNGUCUUCGAGUCGUUGAUUUCACACUGCCGAGAAAAGCCUCUAGAUAGAAAAUAGGUGCCCGUACCGCAAACCGACACAGGUAGUCAAGAUGAGAAUUCUAAGGUGAGCGAGCGAACUCUCGUUAAGGAACUCGGCAAAAUGACCCCGUAACUUCGGGAGAAGGGGUGCUCUUUAGGGUUAACGCCCAGAAGAGCCGCAGUGAAUAGGCCCAAGCGACUGUUUAUCAAAAACACAGGUCUCUGCUAAACCGUAAGGUGAUGUAUAGGGGCUGACGCCUGCCCGGUGCUGGAAGGUUAAGAGGAGUGGUUAGCUUCUGCGAAGCUACGAAUCGAAGCCCCAGUAAACGGCGGCCGUAACUAUAACGGUCCUAAGGUAGCGAAAUUCCUUGUCGGGUAAGUUCCGACCCGCACGAAAGGCGUAACGAUUUGGGCACUGUCUCAACGAGAGACUCGGUGAAAUCAUAGUACCUGUGAAGAUGCAGGUUACCCGCGACAGGACGGAAAGACCCCGUGGAGCUUUACUGUAGCCUGAUAUUGAAAUUCGGCACAGCUUGUACAGGAUAGGUAGGAGCCUUUGAAACGUGAGCGCUAGCUUACGUGGAGGCGCUGGUGGGAUACUACCCUAGCUGUGUUGGCUUUCUAACCCGCACCACUUAUCGUGGUGGGAGACAGUGUCAGGCGGGCAGUUUGACUGGGGCGGUCGCCUCCUAAAAGGUAACGGAGGCGCUCAAAGGUUCCCUCAGAAUGGUUGGAAAUCAUUCAUAGAGUGUAAAGGCAUAAGGGAGCUUGACUGCGAGACCUACAAGUCGAGCAGGGUCGAAAGACGGACUUAGUGAUCCGGUGGUUCCGCAUGGAAGGGCCAUCGCUCAACGGAUAAAAGCUACCCCGGGGAUAACAGGCUUAUCUCCCCCAAGAGUUCACAUCGACGGGGAGGUUUGGCACCUCGAUGUCGGCUCAUCGCAUCCUGGGGCUGUAGUCGGUCCCAAGGGUUGGGCUGUUCGCCCAUUAAAGCGGUACGCGAGCUGGGUUCAGAACGUCGUGAGACAGUUCGGUCCCUAUCCGUCGUGGGCGUAGGAAAUUUGAGAGGAGCUGUCCUUAGUACGAGAGGACCGGGAUGGACAUACCUCUGGUGUACCAGUUGUCGUGCCAACGGCAUAGCUGGGUAGCUAUGUGUGGACGGGAUAAGUGCUGAAAGCAUCUAAGCAUGAAGCCCCCCUCAAGAUGAGAUUUCCCAACUUCGGUUAUAAGAUCCCUCAAAGAUGAUGAGGUUAAUAGGUUCGAGGUGGAAGCAUGGUGACAUGUGGAGCUGACGAAUACUAAUCGAUCGAAGACUUAAUCAA